This 714-nucleotide long non-coding RNA is filed under the name Salmo salar (Atlantic salmon). RNAcentral's name for it is "lncRNA (ENSSSAG00000095869.1, ENSSSAG00000102361.1)". Lineage: Eukaryota; Metazoa; Chordata; Actinopteri; Salmoniformes; Salmonidae. The record is from RNAcentral.
CUGUCUCUCUCUCCUCCCUGUGCUCUCUUCUCCGCACUCUCUCCUCUUCUUCUCCUCCUGCUCUUCAUCUUCUGUCCUCUGUCCUCUGUCUCUCUCUCCUCCCUGUGCUCUCUUCUCCGCACUCUCUCAUCUUCUUCUCCUCCUGCUCUUCUUCUUCUUCAUCUUCUUCAUCAUCUUCUUCAUCUUCUGUCCUCUGUCCUCACUCCUUUCUCCACUGUCCUCUGUCCAACUGGCGGCCUCACAUGUUUACUGAACUAGCAGAGAGCAGGUGGAGAGUUUUGUCAGAAAGAGAUUUUGGAAGUACGUCUAUCCGGCCUCACAACCACAGACCACGUGUAACCACGCCAGCUCACGACCUCCACAUCCGGCUUCUUCACAUGCGGGAUCGUCUGAGACCAGCCACCUGAAGAGCUGAUGAAAAUAACCGAAACAUUUCUACUCAAACUCACCAGGGUCUUGACAUGACUGCAGUUUGGCAUCAUAACAGACUUCAAUGGGCAAAUGCUUACCUUCGAUGGCCACUGGAACACCGGAGAAGUGUGCUCAUCACGGAUGAAUCCCGGUUUUAACUGUACCGGGUAGAUGACAGACAGUGUGUAUGGCGUGGUGUGAGCGAGCAAUUUGCUGAUGUCAAUGUUGUGAUCAGAGUCCCCCAAGGUGGCAGUGAGUGUAAUGGUUAUGGUAUGGGGCAGGCAUUAGCUACGAACAACGAAC